CAAGAAAAGCAAUCCUACUUCAAGUGACAGUAGCAUCCCUUUGAGGAAACCUGCCCCUCAAUGCCUGUUUCCCUUAGUUUUUCCUGGCUUUCUCCCUGGUCACUUAUUCACCGUGUGGAUGACGUCUGCUGUAAGUGUCAGAGCACAGCCUACAUUGUUAGGCUUCUCCCUCCAGCUCACCUCCCUCCAGCUUGUCUGUGUGUCUGUUUUUGUCCCAGAACCAUACUCUCUGAUUACUGUAGCUUUGUAAUAUAACUUAAAGCAAGGAAGUAUGAUGC
This 278-nucleotide long non-coding RNA is filed under the name Pan troglodytes (chimpanzee). Its description in RNAcentral is "long non-coding RNA NONPTRT005979". The record is from RNAcentral. Lineage: Eukaryota; Metazoa; Chordata; Mammalia; Primates; Hominidae.